This 259-nucleotide ribosomal RNA is filed under the name uncultured Bacteroidota bacterium. RNAcentral's name for it is "uncultured Bacteroidetes bacterium partial 16S ribosomal RNA". It matches the Rfam family "Bacterial small subunit ribosomal RNA", at positions 315 to 571 of the family's 1533-position model. Lineage: Bacteria; Pseudomonadati; Bacteroidota. The record is from RNAcentral.
UGUACUGAGACACGGACCAGACUUCUACGGAAGGCAGCAGUAAGGAAUAUUGGACAAUGGAGGCAACUCUGAUCCAGCCAUGCCGCGUGAAGGAAGAAGGCCCUAUGGGUCGUAAACUUCUUUUAUGCAGGAAGAAAUCUUUCCACGUGUGGAAAGUUGACGGUACUGUAAGAAUAAGGAUCGGCUAACUCCGUGCCAGCAGCCGCGGUAAUACGGAGGAUCCAAGCGUUAUCCGGAAUUAUUGGGUUUAAAGGGUCCG